GCCAAUACUGACACUGAGGAGCGAAAGUCUGGGGAGCGAACAGGAUUAGAUACCCUGGUAGUCCAGACCGUAAACGGUGGGCACUAGUUGUGGGAACCUUCCACGGUUUCUGCGACGCAGCUAACGCAUUAAGUGCCCCGCCUGGGGAGUACGAUCGCAAGAUUAAAACUCAAAGGAAUUGACGGGGCCCCGCACAAGCAGCGGAGCAUGCGGCUUAAUUCGACGCAACGCGAAGAACCUUACCAAGGCUUGACAUAUAGGGAAAAGUGGCAGAGAUGUCAUGUCCGCAAGGGCUCUAUACAGGUGGUGCAUGGUUGUCGUCAGCUCGUGUCGUGAGAUGUUGGGUUAAGUCCCGCAACGAGCGCAACCCUCGUUCUGUGUUGCCAGCAUUUAGUUGGGGACUCACAGGAGACUGCCGGGGUUAACUCGGAGGAAGGUGGGGAUGACGUCAAAUCAUCAUGCCCCUUAUGUCUUGGGCUGCACGCAUGCUACAAUGGCCGGUACAGAGGGCUGCAAUACCGUAAGGUGGAGCGAAUCCCAAAAAGCCGGUCUCAGUUCGGAUUGAGGUCUGCAACUCGACCUCAUGAAGUUGGAGUUGCUAGUAAUCGUAGAUCAGCAUCGCUACGGUGAAUACGUUCCCGGGGCUUGUAUACACCGCCCGUCACGUCACGAAAGUCGGUAACACCCAAAGUCAGUGGCCCAACC
This 705-nucleotide ribosomal RNA is filed under the name uncultured Actinomycetes bacterium. RNAcentral's name for it is "bacterial SSU rRNA". It matches the Rfam family "Bacterial small subunit ribosomal RNA", at positions 733 to 1440 of the family's 1533-position model. Lineage: Bacteria; Bacillati; Actinomycetota; Actinomycetes. The record is from RNAcentral.